UGGAUCUCGACAGGGUUGAUAUGAGGACACAUGUGUAAUCAACGGCUGUAAUGACGCCACGUCAUUGUUACAUGUGUUCUCAGGUCACCCCUGCUGAGCUCUU
MicroRNA precursor from Arabidopsis lyrata subsp. lyrata, 103 nucleotides. It matches the Rfam family "MIR398 microRNA precursor family". NCBI's taxonomy places the organism in Eukaryota, Viridiplantae, Streptophyta, Magnoliopsida, Brassicales, Brassicaceae. The record is from Rfam.